RNAcentral lists this transfer RNA (74 nucleotides) under Chitinophaga parva. Its description in RNAcentral is "tRNA-OTHER". It matches the Rfam family "tRNA". Rfam says of the family: Transfer RNA (tRNA) molecules are approximately 80 nucleotides in length. Their secondary structure includes four short double-helical elements and three loops (D, anti-codon, and T loops). Lineage: Bacteria; Pseudomonadati; Bacteroidota; Chitinophagia; Chitinophagales; Chitinophagaceae. The record is from RNAcentral.
GGGGAGAUAACAUGAGUGGUUAAUGUACAGGAGCGUAUGCCUGGACGGAGGUUCGAAUCCUCCCCUCUCCACGA